This 334-nucleotide unclassified non-coding RNA is filed under the name soil metagenome. Its description in RNAcentral is "partial contains 5.8S ribosomal RNA, internal transcribed spacer 2, and large subunit ribosomal RNA". The stretch from base 1 to 120 matches the Rfam family "5.8S ribosomal RNA", at positions 35 to 154 of the family's 154-position model. The record is from RNAcentral.
GAUGAAGAACGUAGCGAAAUGCGAUAAGUAAUGUGAAUUGCAGAAUUCAGUGAAUCAUCGAAUCUUUGAACGCACAUUGCGCCCGCCAGUAUUCUGGCGGGCAUGCCUGUUCGAGCGUCAUUUCAACCAUCAAGCCCCAGGCUUGUGUUGGGGACCUGCGGCUGCCGCAGGCCCUGAAAACCAGUGGCGGGCUCGCUAGUCACUCCGAGCGUAGUAAUACAUCUCGCUCAGGGCGUGCUGCGGGUUCCGGCCGUUAAUAGCCUUAUUUACCCAAGGUUGACCUCGGAUCAGGUAGGAAGACCCGCUGAACUUAAGCAUAUCAAUAAGCGGAGGA